Long non-coding RNA from Poeciliopsis prolifica (blackstripe livebearer), 777 nucleotides. RefSeq lists it as uncharacterized. NCBI's taxonomy places the organism in Eukaryota, Metazoa, Chordata, Actinopteri, Cyprinodontiformes, Poeciliidae. The transcript is spliced from 5 exons. The record is from RefSeq and is a predicted model, not a curated record.
GGAGCUUCCGGGAGGGAUUUCUCAAGAUGGCGGACAACAGAACGAAUUGGCAGUGGAGCGAAGGAACGAAAGAAGAAGAGCGCGAACGCGAGAAUACCGGCGCCAAGGCCUGGAUUUGAAGACCCCUUGACAAGUGUUUCAACUGUUGUGUAGGACUCAUAAACAAGUGCACUGAAAUAAAUAAAAUUACAACAAGACAAACUGUGAUGGAAUGGCAACACAAGACGGAUGGAUAAAACUGGAAGAUAUGGACAAAACAGGAAGAAGCAUUCAUCUCCCCUGCAAAGAUGUGAAUGUGCAAAGUGUGCAACAACCUCAGCAGUCAAUGCGCAAACAUCUGCAUUAAGAAGCUGUUCCUACAUCUUGAUUGACUGGGCUUCAUCUCAGCAGCCAGCAUUGCUUUGUUUAACCGGGUCAAAGUGAGGAGGGUUUGCUUACUCACUCAAUGAGAUGUCCAUGAAGACGAGAAGAAGACCUUCACUAAUCUUGGCUGACAUUGGCAUGUUGGCACCGCACUGCUGCACAACAAAGGAUGAAUAUAAACUAUAGGUUUUUCAGAUAAAUCUGUUCAACGUGGAAUGACUGAUUCACAUCUCCACAGGUGGAUGUUCUGUUAUGUGACAGAAUACUUUUCAUGAAAGCAUAAUUAUAGUCUAUGGAAACAUUCAUCUGGGUUUGUAAUAAAGAAACUUGUCUAUAUCAGAGGAACUUGAAAAUAUUUUAUUUAAAAAAAACUUUAAAUAAUGUGUAAAUCCCUCUUUUCAGUCUAUAGUUAUA